AAAUUGUUUUUAAUUCGUAAAUGGCAAAUGUUAUAUAAUCGUUUUAACUGUUUACAAUAAGAUAAACGACUUAUCUCCGUUUUAUCCUGUACUAGAAACUACAGAUUAAGUGUAUUAAUUGGGAGUCGAAACCGAAACCAGAACCAGAUUAGAAAUAGCCAAUCGUAUUAGAAAGGGAUUUUUCCCUUCUGCUAUAAACAGAUAAUCAAGUUUUCAUUUAAACUUGCAAAGCUGGGUAUUAUAUUAGAUUGUCUAAAAACAUCCAUUGGAAGAAAUUGCACGGAAAAAAAAGUAGUAGAAAAUGAAAUUAAGUCUAUUGCUCAUUGGAUUGGAUUCAAUAACACAACUUUACAAUAUGUCAAUCAUGCUGUUGUAGAAAUAAAUGGAAAUAUAUACUCUUUUGGUGGUUACAAUGUUACUACUACUUUAGGUGAAAUUCAGAUUGAAGUUCACAUAUUAAUAACAGAAUUGUUGAUAUGGAAGAGAAUAGAAUAUAAAAGCAAAUGGAGUGAUAAUGAUAUACCUUUACAAUGCUAUGGGCAUACAGUUGUUGCUUA
This 557-nucleotide unclassified non-coding RNA is filed under the name Centruroides sculpturatus (bark scorpion). RNAcentral describes it as "kelch domain-containing protein 3-like, transcript variant X1". Lineage: Eukaryota; Metazoa; Arthropoda; Arachnida; Scorpiones; Buthidae. The record is from RNAcentral.